GGCAACAUGGCCGAGCGGUAAGGCGGGGGACUACAAAUCUCUUAUUUCUUAGUUCAAAUUGAGUGUUGCCU
Non-coding RNA from Gossypium arboreum, 71 nucleotides. NCBI's taxonomy places the organism in Eukaryota, Viridiplantae, Streptophyta, Magnoliopsida, Malvales, Malvaceae. The record is from Rfam.